GAAAUGUAUGACAAAAGGAUGCCAGGGACCUGCAUUGCUUAACUUGCAGUGACCUGUGUGCUUUUUGUAGCCGCCUUUGUGAGCUCCACUGGCAGCCAUACCAGCUGUGAAAUCUUCCGAGCAGUCUGGAAAACUACAUCAUAAACAAGAUAUUAACAGUCAUAUGAGAAGAUAAGAAAAACAUGAUGUGAAUUCUGCUCUGUGCCAUCCUAGAAGAUAUUUUUUGCUUAGGAAGCAUUGCCAUUUAGAGUGUCUCCUGCUGUUCCCAAUCUUUAGCUCUCUGAGAUGUGUCUAAUGCCCUGAGAAGCAGGGUUUGUGAAGGUUUUAAGUUUUCUGUGGUAGUCUAAAACAGUUACUUGUUGGAUGAAACCCCAGCCUUUCCAGUCAUGUUUACUGGGGAGAAUUUACCUGCUGUAGAGGGUGGCAUUAACAGAGAGAAGGGUGUCCAGCAGACAGAUAAGCGCCUACAGCUCCAGACUUGUAUCCUUUCCAUAGGGAGGUAUAAGAAAGCAUAUUCUGAGAGAAUAAGCAAGGAACAGGGAGAGAAAGAAGUGGUGCGUGUGUGUGGAAUUUAAUGAGGUGAGUUGCUUUUGACCUGGUUAAAUACUUGCUCAACUUUAUCUCCUACAAAGGAGGACAAGCUUGGCCUCUGUGGUCAUAAAUUGCCCUUAGGAUCCGCACACUGACAAGGCUGCUUUAUGCAAAGAACUUUUUUGCCCUUGCUAGCUAUUACGAUCAGUAGUGUAAUCUGCAAAUAUGUCAUGGCAUCAUACCUCCAGUGUGUGUACAGGUAUGUAAGAAAUUUGAGUAUAUGCUAGUGACUAUUGGUAUGCAAAAUACAGGCAGACGAGUCAGAUUUCAAGAAUUAACCAAAGCCUUGGUCAAGAAGUGCUUUGAGAGAGACCAUUGAUUUGCAAAGGGCAGCAGUGACUUCAGCCUCUGGCAAAUCAGUUACUCGGGAGCUCUCUUGACCACCCCAUGUCCCUGCAUUCAGCUCUGUAAGUCCUGAUGCCUCACUGCUUUGUUUGGAUUCAUCUUUAUUUCUCAGCUGUGCUGGUGGAUCUGAACUUUUGCCAGUGAGAGUAUAACUCUUUGUGAUCUGUUUCUCCGCUGAUAAGUUACAAAACCACUGCUUUGAGUAUGCUUUGUGGAUUGUUAACAGCUGGAGUAAGCUUGCAUUGCUUCAUUGGGCAAAUAAUUGCUUUAGUUUAGCUGGACUCACCACAGUUUGCAUUUGCCACAGAACAGGCACAUGUUCUUGUUCUCAAAUCUAUUCUGCUUACUUUACAUAUCACAGAUGUGUCUGAAUACUGAUGUGUGCCACACCUGUUUCUUAAUUUAAGACCAAUGAGUGUCUUUUGCUGUUCAUAAAAAUCAGCAUUUCCCUCAGAUGAAAGCUUGCGUCUACUGAUGCCAAUGAGAGCCACCUGCAUAUGUCUAACAUAAUUUAGUCACUGGUAAUACGCGACAAAAGAGAAAAAGAACAGGAAUUACCAUACUCCAGAUGGAACAAAACCAGAAAAGCAGUGCCAAUGAGAUAGCUGACCCUGUAUGAUGAAAUUAACUUUUCUUCCACUCAGUGAAUGGUGUAACGUAGUCAUUUUCCAGGUCCUUCUGUACAUUGCUGCUUCUGCUUCGUCUACAGCAAGCACUGCAGAGAAUCAUAGCAGAGUUUUAAAGAAUUCCAAUUUUCAUCUCUUUUCUUACAGCAGGAACUUAUUCUUUUAAAUAUAGUAAUUUAAGCAGGAAAGGAAUAGCUUGAGCGUAAAGUUGAUGUUGUGAUAUUUCAGUAUCACAAAUGGUUUAACUUAAUCUGCAUGUUUAAGUGUUUUUUAAAAAAAAACUUGAAAAAGUUAGGUCAAAAUCUGGCUGCUUUGCCAUCUCAUAGUACAUGUAAACAAGUCUCAGCAUUAGUGUUCUCUCCACAGCACAAGUAAAGUGGCCAUUUCCGUCAGCAAGGAAUUUACCACUUCUCGCACCAUGGUUUAAUGUUGCAGAUAACUUAAUUCUCAACAAAACUGCUGUGCCUGAUUUUGCAAUUGAUUGGUUCCAUUGACUCCAAGCAGUGUACUUGUGAAGUAAAAUGCUAUGUUGAAGAGCUUACAGAAUCAACUGCACUAAAUUACUGGUAAAUAGGAAUCAAAGCAAUGUUCAGAGCAAAGAGCUCAUUUAAAAAAAAACAAAGGUACUUAUCAAUUAUUAGUUUAACUAUAAAAACAACCCUUAGUUCAUCAGUCCUUGUGGUAUAAAGAGAUGUGUUGGCUUGUGAAUGUGGACAUUUGGUUCAAAAUAGCAAAUAGAAAAUGAAAUAAUUGUCUUGUUUAUUUUUUUUUCUGUCUAAAUCAAAGUUGAUAAGUGUUUAGGGGAACUCAGCUUAGUCUGAAGCACUUUCAUGUGUAAUGCUGGUGUCUUGCUCUAUUAUCCUCUGAAGCUGCUUGUUAUUGUGGCUGGAAUGAUCUUUAUUGCACCCUCUAUACUGACAAGGACAAAUUCUGAAAUAGGAUUUUAAAACAAAUGGUUAAAAAACCUUAACUUUAUACACAGUGACUGUUUUACUUUUUUUUUAAAAUAGCUUUCUCUUACCCUGAAUAACAGGCUUCACUAUUAAAAAAAAAAAAGGCGGUGAUAGAUCCUGUGCAUUGGAAAUGUAACCAAGGUUAAUUGUAGCGGGGUCAUGGCAACUGUAAUGAACCACAGUGUUUAUAAUGCUAAAAAUGUCCCUUUCAGAAGAUAAAUAUAAUCUGUGAAUGUUUUAUAAUGAUUUUGCAAGGAAGGUCAUAAUCACCAGGAUGGCUUGAUGCUGGGGUUUCAGUACUGCCUCAGGGUUCCUGUUCUGUGCUCACCCAGUGAGCACAGAGGGAAGGAGAAUCAGUGAGUGGGAGAGGGAUGUGUCCUUGUGAGCCCCUCCUGCCCGCAAGCAAUGGGACCUCCUUGUAUGUCCACUUGUUGAACGAGCUUAGGGAACAAGCAGCAGGUAAAGCGGCUUGUUUUGUUUGGUUAACUCUCGGACGGAGCAUAUGCUGCGGUGUCUGAAUGAUGCACAAGAACUGGUAGGGCAGAAGCACGAGGCAGUGGUUUGAUUUGCUACUUUACAGGCUCUGCGCUGGCUUGAAGUGACAAAUGGCACCAGUUACACACUUGGGUGAAGACUGACUGCUGCUGAAGGGUGGUCUUUUUCCUUCUACCUAUGUUUCUACUAUUGAUUUUGUGUUGUGCCACAUUUACAUGGCUGCAAGAAUAAUCAGAUUAAUUAGCUAAUCUAAUGGAAGAGUGACCUGGUCAGUGAUCUGCAGCAAACUGACCUGUUUUACUGCAUGUCUCUACACUUAAUACUUUGCCUGCAAAAACCUACACUUCAGUUGGCUUAAGGGGGUUUUGAACCCACUUUUAAAGGCAGCUUGCAUCCCAUUUCUGUACUUAUUCUGAGAUGCAGUGGUCUUUGACUUUGCAGGUUAUACCUGCACCUAAAUAUAGGUGACAGCUUUUGGCCUGUAGGUGCUCAAGAGCUGUUGCUGCUUGGUCCCCCUCAUCUUGUGAGGGCCACAUUGUCUCAGUGAGCGGUUGAUACCACCUGGGUAACUGGUGCAUGGUGUGUCAUCAACAUAUGUUCUAAUAAAUUUGUGAUUUAAAGAUCUUAGCUACUUUUU
Molecule: long non-coding RNA, 3647 nt
Organism: Anser brachyrhynchus (Pink-footed goose)
Lineage: Eukaryota; Metazoa; Chordata; Aves; Anseriformes; Anatidae
Source: Ensembl